Molecule: transfer RNA, 75 nt
Rfam family: tRNA
About the family: Transfer RNA (tRNA) molecules are approximately 80 nucleotides in length.
GCCCUUAUAGCUCAAUGGAUAGAGCAUCGGCCUUCUAAGCCGAGGAUGCAGGUUCGAUUCCUGCUGAGGGUACCA